UUCACCGGUUCCCGUGAAUUCACCGAAGUUAAGCAACGUCGAUCCUGGUCAGUAACUAGAUGGAUGACCGCUUGGGAAUACCAGGUGCUGUAAG
Non-coding RNA from Acanthosepion pharaonis, 94 nucleotides. The record is from the annotation of a GenBank genome assembly. NCBI's taxonomy places the organism in Eukaryota, Metazoa, Mollusca, Cephalopoda, Sepiida, Sepiidae.